GACCGCUGCAUCGCCUACAGACCUCUUCGGUGCUUUUUGGAUAACAAGCUGAGUGGAUGCUUUAUUUCCUAAGGUCAGCAUUCAGGUGUAUCUCAUCUUGCUCUUGGAAAAUCGAUUUCAUUAG
Long non-coding RNA from Triticum dicoccoides, 124 nucleotides. RefSeq lists it as uncharacterized. Lineage: Eukaryota; Viridiplantae; Streptophyta; Magnoliopsida; Poales; Poaceae. The transcript is spliced from 3 exons. The record is from RefSeq and is a predicted model, not a curated record.